UACGUAGGCAGCAAGCGUUGUUCGGAGUUACUGGGCGUAAAGGGUGUGUAGGCGGUUGGGUAAGUGUGGUGUGAAAUCUCCCGGCUUAACUGGGAGGGUGCGCUACAAACUGUCUGACUAGAGUGUGGGAUGGGUAAGUGGAAUUCCUGGUGUAGCGGUGAAAUGCGCAGAUAUCAGGAGGAACACCAGCGGCGAAGGCGGCGCUCUGGGCCGGUACUGACACUGAGGAGCGAAAGCGUGGGUAGCAAACAGG
This 253-nucleotide ribosomal RNA is filed under the name uncultured bacterium. RNAcentral describes it as "partial 16S ribosomal RNA". It matches the Rfam family "Bacterial small subunit ribosomal RNA", at positions 524 to 776 of the family's 1533-position model. The record is from RNAcentral.